RNAcentral lists this ribosomal RNA (253 nucleotides) under uncultured bacterium. RNAcentral describes it as "partial 16S ribosomal RNA". It matches the Rfam family "Bacterial small subunit ribosomal RNA", at positions 524 to 776 of the family's 1533-position model. The record is from RNAcentral.
UACGGGGGGGGCAAGCGUUGUUCGGAAUUACUGGGCGUAAAGGGCUUGUAGGUGGCCAACUAAGUCAGACGUGAAAUCCCCCGGCUUAACCGGGGAACUGCGUCUGAUACUGGAUGGCUAGAGAUUGGGAGAGGGACGCGGAAUUCCAGGUGUAGCGGUGAAAUGCGUGGAUAUCUGGAGGAACACCGGUGGCGAAGGCGGAUCUCUGGGCCGAUACUGACGCUGAGGAGCGAAAGCGUGGGGAGCGAACAGG